This 107-nucleotide ribosomal RNA is filed under the name uncultured fungus. RNAcentral describes it as "partial 5.8S ribosomal RNA". It matches the Rfam family "5.8S ribosomal RNA", at positions 53 to 154 of the family's 154-position model. From Rfam's summary of the family: 5.8S ribosomal RNA (5.8S rRNA) is a component of the large subunit of the eukaryotic ribosome. It is transcribed by RNA polymerase I as part of the 45S precursor that also contains 18S and 28S rRNA. Lineage: Eukaryota; Fungi. The record is from RNAcentral.
GGACGUAAAAGAUUGUGAAUGGCACCCCUUCCCGUGAAUCAUCGAAUCUUUGAACGCAAAUUGCACUCCCUGGUAUUCCGGGGAGUAUGCCUGUUUGAGGGUCUUUA